GUGAGGAAUAUUGGUCAAUGGACGAGAGUCUGAACCAGCCAAGUCGCGUGAAGGAAGACGGUUCUAUGAAUUGUAAACUUCUUUUGUGCAGGAAUAAAGUGGGUUACGUGUAACCUUUUGUAUGUACUGUACGAAUAAGGAUCGGCUAACUCCGUGCCAGCAGCCGCGGUAAUACGGAGGAUCCGAGCGUUAUCCGGAUUUAUUGGGUUUAAAGGGUGCGUAGGUGGAUUGAUAAGUCAGCGGUGAAAGUUUGCAGCUUAACUGUAAAAUUGCCGUUGAAACUGUCGGUCUUGAGUGCAAAUGAGGUAGGCGGAAUGUGUUGUGUAGCGGUGAAAUGCUUAGAUAUAACACAGAACUCCGAUUGCGAAGGCAGCUUACUGGGAUGCAACUGACACUGAUGCACGAAAGCGUGGGUAUCAAACAGGAUUAGAUACCCUUGUAGUCC
RNAcentral lists this ribosomal RNA (445 nucleotides) under uncultured bacterium. Its description in RNAcentral is "partial 16S ribosomal RNA". It matches the Rfam family "Bacterial small subunit ribosomal RNA", at positions 354 to 796 of the family's 1533-position model. The record is from RNAcentral.